AUUAAACGCUGGCGGCAUGCCUUACACAUGCAAGUCGAACGGCAGCACGGGUGCUUGCACCUGGUGGCGAGUGGCGAACGGGUGAGUAAUACAUCGGAACAUGUCCUGUAGUGGGGGAUAGCCCGGCGAAAGCCGGAUUAAUACCGCAUACGAUCUACGGAUGAAAGCGGGGGACCUUCGGGCCUCGCGCUAUAGGGUUGGCCGAUGGCUGAUUAGCUAGUUGGUGGGGUAAAGGCCUACCAAGGCGACGAUCAGUAGCUGGUCUGAGAGGACGACCAGCCACACUGGGACUGAGACACGGCCCAGACUCCUACGGGAGGCAGCAGUGGGGAAUUUUGGACAAUGGGCGAAAGCCUGAUCCAGCAAUGCCGCGUGUGUGAAGAAGGCCUUCGGGUUGUAAAGCACUUUUGUCCGGAAAGAAAUCCUUGGCCCUAAUACGGUCGGGGGAUGACGGUACCGGAAGAAUAAGCACCGGCUAACUACGUG
RNAcentral lists this ribosomal RNA (486 nucleotides) under uncultured bacterium. RNAcentral describes it as "partial 16S ribosomal RNA". It matches the Rfam family "Bacterial small subunit ribosomal RNA", at positions 30 to 507 of the family's 1533-position model. The record is from RNAcentral.